AAAUACAUGGGACAUGUGCGUUUGGACUGUGCCUGAAUGGCUUCAUGUUUUAACAGGCUGAGGAUGAAACCAGAAGGAUCUGCUCAAAGGAAAAUUAGGGCUA
Gavialis gangeticus (Gharial) is the source of this 103-nucleotide long non-coding RNA. RefSeq lists it as uncharacterized. The transcript has 3 exons. NCBI's taxonomy places the organism in Eukaryota, Metazoa, Chordata, Crocodylia, Gavialidae. The record is from RefSeq and is a predicted model, not a curated record.